AGCAUGGAAUAAUGGAAUAGGACGUGCGGUUCUAUUUUGUUGGUUUCUAGGACCGCCGUAAUGAUUAAUAGGGACAGUCGGGGGCAUCAGUAUUCAAUUGUCAGAGGUGAAAUUCUUGGAUUUAUUGAAGACUAACUACUGCGAAAGCAUUUGCCAAGGAUGUUUUCAUUAAUCAGGAACGAAAGUUAGGGGAUCGAAGACGAUCAGAUACCGUCGUAGUCUUAACCAUAAACUAUGCCGACUAGGGAUCGGACGAUGUAAAUAAUUGACUCGUUCGGCACCUUACGAGAAAUCAAAGUGUUUGGGCUCCAGGGGGAGUAUGGUCGCAAGGCUGAAACUUAAAGAAAUUGACGGAAGAGCACCACCAGGGGUGGAGCCUGCGGCUUAAUUUGACUCAACACGGGGAAACUCACCAGGUCCAGACACAAUGAGGAUUGACAGAUUGAGAGCUCUUUCUUGAUUUUGUGGGUGGUGGUGCAUGGCCGUUCUUAGUUGGUGGAGUGAUUUGUCUGCUUAAUUGCGAUAACGAACGAGACCUUAACCUGCUAAAUAGCCCGUAUUGCUUUGGCAGUACGCUGGCUUCUUAGAGGGACUAUCGGCUCAAGCCGAUGGAAGUUUGAGGCAAUAACAGGUCUGUGAUGCCCUUAGAUGUUCUGGGCCGCACGCGCGCUACACUGACGGAGCCAGCGAGUACUUCCUUGGCCGAAAGGCCCGGGUAAUCUUGUUAAACUCCGUCGUGCUGGGGAUAGA
RNAcentral lists this ribosomal RNA (750 nucleotides) under uncultured Simplicillium. RNAcentral describes it as "SSU rRNA". It matches the Rfam family "Eukaryotic small subunit ribosomal RNA", at positions 806 to 1580 of the family's 1831-position model. Lineage: Eukaryota; Fungi; Ascomycota; Sordariomycetes; Hypocreales; Cordycipitaceae. The record is from RNAcentral.